UACGUAGGGGGCUAGCGUUAUCCGGAUUUACUGGGCGUAAAGGGUGCGUAGGUGGUUUCUUAGGUCAGAAGUGAAAGGCUACGGCUCAACCGUAGUAAGCUUUUGAAACUAAGAGACUAGAGUGCAGGAGAGGUAAGUGGAAUUCCUAGUGUAGCGGUGAAAUGCGUAGAUAUUAGGAAGAACACCAGUGGCGAAGGCGACUCUCUGGACUGUAACUGACACUGAGGCGCGAAAGCUAGGGGAGCAAACA
RNAcentral lists this ribosomal RNA (250 nucleotides) under uncultured bacterium. RNAcentral describes it as "partial 16S ribosomal RNA". It matches the Rfam family "Bacterial small subunit ribosomal RNA", at positions 524 to 774 of the family's 1533-position model. The record is from RNAcentral.